This 759-nucleotide ribosomal RNA is filed under the name Neisseria subflava. RNAcentral describes it as "bacterial SSU rRNA". It matches the Rfam family "Bacterial small subunit ribosomal RNA", at positions 28 to 776 of the family's 1533-position model. The record is from RNAcentral. Lineage: Bacteria; Pseudomonadati; Pseudomonadota; Betaproteobacteria; Neisseriales; Neisseriaceae.
AUUGAACGCUGGCGGCAUGCUUUACACAUGCAAGUCGGACGGCAGCACAGAGAAGCUCGCUUCUUGGGUGGCGAGUGGCGAACGGGUGAGUAACAUAUCGGAACGUACCGAGUAAUGGGGGAUAACUAAUCGAAAGAUUAGCUAAUACCGCAUAUUCUCUGAGGAGGAAAGCAGGGGACCUUCGGGCCUUGCGUUAUUCGAGCGGCCGAUAUCUGAUUAGCUAGUUGGUGGGGUAAAGGCCUACCAAGGCGACGAUCAGUAGCGGGUCUGAGAGGAUGAUCCGCCACACUGGGACUGAGACACGGCCCAGACUCCUACGGGAGGCAGCAGUGGGGAAUUUUGGACAAUGGGCGCAAGCCUGAUCCAGCCAUGCCGCGUGUCUGAAGAAGGCCUUCGGGUUGUAAAGGACUUUUGUCAGGGAAGAAAAGGCUGUCGCUAAUAUCGACAGCUGAUGACGGUACCUGAAGAAUAAGCACCGGCUAACUACGUGCCAGCAGCCGCGGUAAUACGUAGGGUGCGAGCGUUAAUCGGAAUUACUGGGCGUAAAGCGAGCGCAGACGGUUACUUAAGCAGGAUGUGAAAUCCCCGGGCUCAACCUGGGAACUGCGUUCUGAACUGGGUGACUAGAGUGUGUCAGAGGGAGGUAGAAUUCCACGUGUAGCAGUGAAAUGCGUAGAGAUGUGGAGAAAUACCGAUGGCGAAGGCAGCCUCCUGGGAUAACACUGACGUUCAUGCUCGAAAGCGUGGGUAGCAAACAGG